AGCGAACGCUGGCGGCAGGCUUAACACAUGCAAGUCGAGCGGGCACUUUCGGGUGUCAGCGGCGGACGGGUGAGUAACGCGUGGGAACGUGCCCUCUGGUUCGGAAUAACUCAGGGAAACUUGAGCUAAUACCGGAUACGCCCUUUUGGGGAAAGGCUUGCUGCCGGAGGAUCGGCCCGCGUCUGAUUAGCUAGUUGGUGAGGUAACGGCUCACCAAGGCGACGAUCAGUAGCUGGUCUGAGAGGAUGAUCAGCCACACUGGGACUGAGACACGGCCCAGACUCCUACGGGAGGCAGCAGUGAGGAAUAUUGGACAAUGGGCGCAAGCCUGAUCCAGCCAUGCCGCGUGAGUGAUGAAGGCCUUAGGGUUGUAAAGCUCUUUUAUCCGGGACGAUAAUGACGGUACCGGAGGAAUAAGCCCCGGCUAACUUCGUG
RNAcentral lists this ribosomal RNA (435 nucleotides) under uncultured bacterium. Its description in RNAcentral is "partial 16S ribosomal RNA". It matches the Rfam family "Bacterial small subunit ribosomal RNA", at positions 29 to 507 of the family's 1533-position model. The record is from RNAcentral.